UAUGUGAUCGUCUCUCGCAUAUCAAUAAGCGGAGGAAAAGAAACUAACAAGGAUUCCCCUAGUAACGGCGAGUGAAGCGGGAAGAGCUCAAAUUUGAAAUCUUAAAGGGUUUCCCUUUACGAAUUGUAGUUUAAAGAAGUGUUUUCUGUUGAGGUUUUGGUAAAAGUUCUUUGGAAUAGGACAUCAUAGAGGGUGAGAAUCCCGUAUUUGACCUUUACUUUCAACUUUGUGAUACACUUUCAAAGAGUCGGAUUGUUUGGGAAUGCAGUCCAAAAUGGGUGGUAAAUUUCAUCUAAAGCUAAAUAUUGGCGAGAGACCGAUAGCGAACAAGUACCGUGAGGGAAAGAUGAAAAGAACUUUGAAAAGAGAGUUAAACAGUACGUGAAAUUGUCAAAAGGGAAGCGUUUGACACCAGUGUUGUCUUUCUGAAAAUCAAUUAAAGAACUGUUUAUGCUAAGCUGUUUAGACUUUAUCAGCUAACUGUUUAGUUUUGAGCUUUUCUUUAAUGCACUUUUCAGUUAACAAGUCAACAUCAAUUUCUUUUGCUGUAAAAAAGCUUGAGGAAGGUGGCUUGAGAUUCGUCUUAAGUGUUUAUAGCCUCUUGCCUAUGCAGUCGGAGAGAUUGAGGUCUGCAGCGUAGAUCCUUCGGGGCUAAAUGCAUUUGUGCUAAGUUAUAGCAUUUUAUAGACAACUUGUUGACUAUGAUUUGUCUUGUAGCUUACUCGCUUAUGUUAUUUUACCUACGCUUAGGAUGUUGAUAUGCAUGACUGAUAU
Molecule: ribosomal RNA, 774 nt
Filed under: uncultured Neocallimastigales
Lineage: Eukaryota; Fungi; Neocallimastigomycota; Neocallimastigomycetes; Neocallimastigales
Description: partial large subunit ribosomal RNA
Rfam family: Eukaryotic large subunit ribosomal RNA
Source: RNAcentral